ACAUGCAAGUCGAGGGCAUCAUGAUCUAGCUGCUAGAAUGAUGGCGACCGGCGCACGGGUGAGUAACGCGUAUCCAACCUCCCUAUAGUAGAGGAUAGCCCGGCGAAAGUCGGAUUAAUACUCUAUGUUGUUCAAUGCGGACAUCCAAGUUGAACCAAAGGUUUACCGCUAUAGGAUGGGGAUGCGUCUGAUUAGAUGGUAGGCGGGGUAACGGCCCACCUAGUCGACGAUCAGUAGGGGUUCUGAGAGGAAGGUCCCCCACAUUGGAACUGAGACACGGUCCAAACUCCUACGGGAGGCAGCAGUGAGGAAUAUUGGUCAAUGGGCGAGAGCCUGAACCAGCCAAGUAGCGUGCAAGGAUGACGGCCCUAUGGGUUGUAAACUGCUUUUAUAUAGGGAUAAAGUGCACUACGUGUAGUGUUUUGUAGGUACUAUAUGAAUAAGGACCGGCUAAUUCCGUGCCAGCAGCGGC
Molecule: ribosomal RNA, 472 nt
Filed under: uncultured bacterium
Lineage: Bacteria
Description: bacterial SSU rRNA
Rfam family: Bacterial small subunit ribosomal RNA
Source: RNAcentral